GGGCAGCUAGCUCAGGGGUAGAGCAUCUGACUUUUAAUCAGAUGGUCGCGGGUUCGAAUCCCGCGCUGCUCA
RNAcentral lists this transfer RNA (72 nucleotides) under Spirochaetaceae bacterium. RNAcentral describes it as "tRNA-Lys". It matches the Rfam family "tRNA". From Rfam's summary of the family: Transfer RNA (tRNA) molecules are approximately 80 nucleotides in length. Their secondary structure includes four short double-helical elements and three loops (D, anti-codon, and T loops). Lineage: Bacteria; Pseudomonadati; Spirochaetota; Spirochaetia; Spirochaetales; Spirochaetaceae. The record is from RNAcentral. RNAcentral also lists the same sequence under 1 other name.